Molecule: long non-coding RNA, 466 nt
Organism: Malurus melanocephalus (red-backed fairy wren)
Lineage: Eukaryota; Metazoa; Chordata; Aves; Passeriformes; Maluridae
Exons: 3
Source: RefSeq, a predicted model, not a curated record
UCCUCCCGGUGAUUUCUCGGCCAGGAUCCCCCUCCUCAGGGGUGCCCCGGCAAUCCCCGCGAUCUCCUGUCCCCUUUGUCCCCGCAGCUCCGGGCUGCCCUCGGUGGCACCGCGCGGCGCUCGGGGCCGGCUGGACCGGGAAUCUCCUGCUCGGAGUGGCCGUGGUGGCGCUGGGCUGCUCGUUUCUCCAGCGGCAGCCGCAGAGUUCGGGAAGCGGCGGGAUCGGGAUUGGGAAUGUUGGAGACACCAACAGCAGCCGGGAGAGCCUCCUGAGGGAGCUGAGGGAAGCUCUGUGCCCGCCACGCUCACCCGGGGCUGAGGGAUGCAGGUUCUGCCCCUGUGGAUGGACACUGAACGGGACCAAGUGCUACUGGGUCUCUAGGGAAUUCAGAUCAUGGAACAAGAGCCAGGAGGACUGCGGGGAUCGCGGGGCAGAGCUGCUGCAGCCGCGGGAUCGGGAUGAGCU